UUUUCCUACGGGGGGCAGCAGUGAGGAAUAUUGGUCAAUGGCCGCAGGGCUGAACCAGCCAAGUCGCGUGAGGGAUGACGGUCCUAUGGAUUGUAAACCUCUUUUGUCAGGGAGCAAAGGGCGCCACGUGUGGCGCUUUGCGAGUACCUGAAGAAAAAGCAUCGGCUAACUCCGUGCCAGCAGCCGCGGUAAUACGGAGGAUGCGAGCGUUAUCCGGAUUUAUUGGGUUUAAAGGGUGCGCAGGCGGGCUGUUAAGCCGGCGGUAAAAAUUCAGGGCUCAACCCUGUCGAGCCGUCGGAAC
Molecule: ribosomal RNA, 301 nt
Filed under: uncultured bacterium
Lineage: Bacteria
Description: bacterial SSU rRNA
Rfam family: Bacterial small subunit ribosomal RNA
Source: RNAcentral